AGAGUUUGGAUCCUGGCUCAGAUUGAACGCUGGCGGCAUGCUUUACACAUGCAAGUCGAACGGCAGCACGGGGGCAACCCUGGUGGCGAGUGGCGAACGGGUGAGGAAUGCACCGGAACGUAUCUUCAAGUGGGGGAUAACGCAUCGAAAGGUGUGCUAAUACCGCAUAAUCUCUGAGGAGAAAAGCAGGGGAUCGCAAGACCUUGCGCUUUUGGAGCGGCCGAUGCCUGAUUAGCUUGUUGGUGAGGUAAAAGCUCACCAAGGCUCCGAUCAGUAGCUGGUCUGAGAGGACGACCAGCCACACUGGGACUGAGACACGGCCCAGACUCCUACGGGAGGCAGCAGUGGGGAAUUUUGGACAAUGGGGGCAACCCUGAUCCAGCCAUGCCGCGUGAGUGAAGAAGGCCUUCGGGUUGUAAAGCUCUUUCAGCCGGAACGAAACGGUCACGGUCAAUACCCGUGACUACUGACGGUACCGGAAGAAGAAGCACCGGCUAACUACGUGCCAGCAGCCGCGGUAAUACGUAGGGUGCGAGCGUUAAUCGGAAUUACUGGGCGUAAAGCGUGCGCAGGCGGUUUUGUAAGUCAGAUGUGAAAUCCCCGGGCUUAACCUGGGAACUGCGUUUGAAACUGCAAGGCUAGAGUGUGGCAGAGGGGGGUGGAAUUCCGCGUGUAGCAGUGAAAUGCGUAGAGAUGUGG
RNAcentral lists this ribosomal RNA (699 nucleotides) under uncultured bacterium. RNAcentral's name for it is "bacterial SSU rRNA". It matches the Rfam family "Bacterial small subunit ribosomal RNA", at positions 8 to 701 of the family's 1533-position model. The record is from RNAcentral.